Non-coding RNA from Sus scrofa (pig), 5780 nucleotides. The record is from RefSeq and is a predicted model, not a curated record. Lineage: Eukaryota; Metazoa; Chordata; Mammalia; Artiodactyla; Suidae.
ACGGCAGCACCGGAUCCAUAACCCACUGAACGAGGCCGGGGAUUGAACCUGUGUCCUCAUGGAUGCUACAAGGGUUUGUUAAAUGCUGAGUCGCGAUGGGAACUGCCCAAAUAUUGUUUUAAAAUAUUGCUUAUAUGCAUGAGUAUAAUGUGUGUAUUAUUUUUAAGCCAGGUUUUUUUUUUUGUUUUGUUUUACUUAUUUGGAAAAAUAAACUCUAUGCCACACUGCAUUGCCUGCUAGUAUUUUAUAGAGCCAUGUAUAAGGGUCAAUUACUUUGGUGGGGAGGUAGGUGGAAAAUAAGAAUCUCAUGCAAAAGACGUAUAUAAAAUGACAUAAAAUGAAACUUACUUAUCAAUAAGGGGCUGAGGGGAAUCCUGUAUGCAGAGUCAGGCAAUCUGUGUAAAUCAGAGGUGGUUGUGUUGGAUUUCACUUUGAAAUGUUCCAUGAUAGGAAGUGGACUUGGGAGAGGAAGGAAGGAAGGACUUCCAGAGCUUCAGUGUGGAACCGUGAACAAUGAACAGGAACAAGUACUCUGGACAAGACUGUGUGAUGUCCUGCCCUGCAGAAGGACGGCUAUGGGCAGAGGGGGCAUGUGCAUGAACCUGAGGAUGUGACCUUGGCACCCUGUCUGGUUUUGGCAGGGAGUACGCUUAGUUAAGUGCCACCUCAUUUCUGCCUAGAUUCAUCCUUGCUUGUUUCUUUAAAGACUGUGAGGUCUAGUCAGGGAUCUAUUCUCUGUUGGUGGAAGUGACUGGAACCAGAGACGCAGGUGAGAUCAUCUGGGAAAUGAAUGUAAGUGGAGAAAAAGGAGAAAGUCCCAGAGCAUCGCAAAGUUCAGGGACCGAGUGGAAAAACAGGAGCCUAAAAGUCAAAAAAAAAAAAAAAAAAAAAAGAAGAAAAGAAAGGUCCAGUGAUGUAAGAAUAAAAUUUGGAGAGUAGGUGACCCUAAGGCCAAGAGAGGAACGUGUUUCAGGAAGUAAGGAGUUGGUCAAUAAAGCUAAAUAUUGCUCAAAGUCUCAGUAAGAUGGAGGCACAGAUGUGUCCUCUGGGUUUGGCAACGUGGGGUUGUUGGUAACCUUGAUGAGAAAAUGGAAAUAUCAGGAACUUGGACUGGUGAAGAUGGGACUGAGAGGCUAUUUGUUAAAAACAGAAAAAUCAAACAAAAUUUAAUAACACAUAUACAUGGAGAUACCUGGAAAACUAAAUAACUAGCCAACAUGCCUGAGGCCCUCACCUGAAAUAGAAGGCCACACCUUAAAUCCAUCCUCAACUAAAAAGAAUCUUCCAUCCUGUGGGGAAGAAUGUAUUAGCUUGGCUUCUGGUUGGGACAAUAUUGGUGAAAGGGGUCAUGGUGUGAAAUGGCUCUGUGAUGCAUGGAGAAGAAACAAAAUGUCAUGUCUGAGGUUUGUGAUAAAAUUUGAUUGAUUCUUCAGGUGGCGUGAGAGGCCUUUCUCACCACUGUCACACUCCCCGCUGCCAAGGCUGAGACCCUGAAGGCAAAAUUUGUGUGCUUUGGUGGGGAGCGCUUGGGGUGUCACCACUGUGCUAAAUACAGUUCCAAGAAGUUUAGUGUUAGUUAAUAUUUUCUAAAUGGAAUUAGCCUCUUCUGAGCUUUCAGGGAGUUUGUAACUGCAGCAAUACUUUUUGCCCAGGUAUUCAUUAAAUCAUACAAAUAACUAGUUUCAAUGAAACAUAUAUUAAAUACAAUAUAUAAACAUAUUUUAUAUUAAGUACUUAUGUUAAUUCUUAUAACAGAUAAUUCCAUUUUCUACACUAAGCCCUACUUGACAUGAUGCUAAAAAAUGGGGGGGGGGGCGUGGACCCAUAUUUUCACUGAUAACAAAGAGGACGCUUAGUGGCAGGUGAGCCAUGGUUAAAAUGUUUACAUGUUAAGAGAUACGUUCCUUCAUCUACAAUAUGUGCUUGCAAGAGAAUUGAUAUUGCUGAUUUGAGAGAACUUGAAAAAACUUUCACGAAUGUAUGUUUUAAGAUUUAAUACAUGGUCUCUGCUUUUUUUUUCUUCCUGUCAGGUGUAUUCCCAUUUGACUCUUUUGACUCCUUGAACCAAAUCCUCUCUAGAUUAAGAUUAGGAAGCUGGUUCAGAGACAUCGGAGUCUGCAAAGAGGACUCUGCCGGUGCCAUGAACCGCCUUCUUCUCUCCCAGUGCGCCAUGCAAAGUACAGGACAAGACAAACUUUCAAGGGAGGGUAGGUUAAGAAGGGCAUGUAGUCCUUGCUAAUGAUUUUUGAUUCAUUUCCUCUAAUGGCAACGAAUUGGAGACUUUUAGAGGAGGAAGAAGAGAGUCGGGUUCAUUUUCUAGCACGUGGCUGGUGUGGAUGGUGGGGAGGAUGCUGGUGGGUGGCAUGAAGCUGAGAGUCAGACCAGUUAGGAAGCUGCUGCAGGAGAUGCUGUUUUCCACUCCUUCCCCAGCUUUGUGUUGAGUGUGUUAAGCCUCUGCUUCUGGCACAGCUGGGAGUGCAAAGAAGUUGCAACUGUUGACAGAAGUAAAGCUUAUUCAUCAUCUUCCCUCCUUCCUGAAGCCCUGUUUCCAUUUCCCCUCAUGGUUUGUAGGAAGACAGUCUUCACUGGUAUUGCCUUUCUCUGUGUUGUUUCCAGAAUCGAUUGUUGUCUUCCACCAUUGUAAAGUUUUGUACCUUAAAAAAAUCAGCAGAAUUGGGAAAUCUCACUUUGGGAGACAGCCUGGUCCUUCACAACCUGUUCUAAGCAAAUUCGAUUUGCUUGUUUUAACAGUCAUGACGCAGCUCUUCUGUGGAGCUUCCUCUUCAGCCUUAGGUAUUCCAAAGGCCGUGUGUUUCAAGAACUGGGCUGUGAUUCCCCAGCAAGCGAAACAUCUCCCCCUCCCCCUCUUUCCCCUCCCCCUCUCCCCCCUCCCUUUGCCUCACACCGGUUCCAGUUCCAUCCCAGCUCCCUGGGGAGAGCCUUGAGGAGCAUGGCCUGAUGCCUGGGGUGUUGGGUCUUCCCUGGGGUCAACGGGCUCUUUUCUUGGGAUGGAAAAGAAAUGAAAUUCUUGGUGUAUGCAUUUCUUAAGCAUGUCUGUAUCACUGGGGACCUGUCUUCCUAUUUUAGGACUGAGUCUAAUUUCAAUGUAAUUGUGAGGCAAGAGACAAUAUUUCAAGCUAGAUUGCUUGCCUAAUUGUUGCUUCAAGUAAAAAGAAAAUUGGGCUGGGAGUCUAGAGAGCUAAGUUUUAAAUGCACUCCAUUACUAAUUUAAAUAAAAAUUAAGUAACAUUUUAUAGUACAUCAUUUUUAAUAUUAAUUUUUACAGCCGACCUCAUUUAUUUAAUUUCUUCUGAUUUUAAUAGAGACAUAUCUCAGAAAAUCUUCCCAUCAAACUAUCUAUAGCCAUCUAUUUUUUUCCCCACACAAUGUCUCUCGCUUGCAUGUCCUCAAGCUUUCUUUGACUAAUUUUUUAAAAAAUGGCUUGAGAUCUCAUCAGGCACUGGAAGAACACCAAAAAUGUCCCAUCACUCUUAGAGGACAGAGGGCGGGUAUGUUAGUGAGUCUACCUUAUAGCUGAUUGUCAACAUAAAUGAUGUAAUGGAGAAUGCUCCAGACUUUGGAGCAAGACUGCCUGGGAUCGAGUCCUGAUUUCUGUCACUUACUGUGUGACCUUGAUGAAGUUACCUAACUUUUCUGUUCUCUGUUCCUCAGGGGUUUUUUGGUCCUAAAAAUGGAACAAUUGUUUUUGCCUCAUAGGCUUGUUUUGAGGAUUAAAUGAAUUAAUAACUUUAGGGUUAAGAGGAUCGAGUAAAUUUAUAUAUAUAAAUUAUUUAUAUAUAUAAAAUACUUAGCGUACUGCCUGGCCUGUAGUGAACAUGAUAUACGUGUUGAUUAUUCUUUUUUGGCUCAUUUUUCCAUUGCCCACUGGCUCUGCCCCCUAGAGUCUAGCCUGCUGUUGCUGCCAUGCCCUUUUCUGCACAGUUCUGCCUCAUGCCAGAUACCAGCCUUCUUCAUCCUCCUGAAGGUAUGGCACAUAUAAGGCUGCUGUGAGUAAUGAUGACACUUAAUAAUAAUAGCUGGCAUUUACUGAGUGCUCACCUUAUGCCAGCACUGCUGUUAGCACUUAACCUCUAUUUGUUCAUUUAAUCCUCAUACCAACUCUAUGAGAUAAAUGUGAUCAUAACCUCAUUUUACAGAUGAGGAAGUUGAGGUUCAAAUCAGUUGCAUAGCUUGUCCAAGGUCACCAGUUAGUGAGGAGUAAAGCUAGGUUUUCAAACACUACUUACUUCCUCUUCUCCUGGCCCUUGUAUAUAUAGGGAAGUAGGAAGUAUCUUUUUUUUUUUCCUUCUGGUGAAUGAUAUCCUUAUAGGGCUCUUCUUUCUGGCCGGUCAAAUUCCCAUCAGUGAUAAAUGAGCACUGCAGGGGGGGGUGCGGGGGGAGGGGCAGGGAUUCUCAGUAUAUGACGAGGAGGCCAAAGAAACAUCUGGAGUCUACUCAGCACCCAGUGUGUGCUGCCCUUGCAUGAGGCCCGCUGUGGCUCUGUCUCAGGGAAUUCUUGUGGCCGCUCUCACGUUCCGUUAUUGUCAUUUUCAUGGCAGGAAACUGAAUUUCAGAAAGGUAAGGACUUGCCUUUAGGUUACCCAGCUCUUGAGUUAAGACAAAUUUGAACUCAGGUCCAUGUGGCCCCAGAGCAUCACAGAGCAAGUUCUUUUCACCCUGGCACCCUGCUGUCCCCCGCAUCUUCACGUCUUCAAGGACUCCAUGCCAUGCGGACUUUUCUUUCGGCCUCUCUUUUUUUAACCUUUCCGAUUUAGCUUUUCUUUUCAACAGCUUAAAGUCCUAUGAACAAAUAUGUGAUUGUCUAUAUUAUUAACAUGAGGUAGGAGUAGUUAAAUGGAUUAAAGCUGCUUAUGGAAAUAUUUAACCUUAUCAUCCCAAGGGGCUUUACAUAUGAUGCCAGUAAGUAUCAUUAAGCUUUGUUCACCUCAAUAACAGCUGGUAUUAGAGUAUUUUAAGAUGUUAAAGCAGUUUCUGCCCUUGAGAUGGUCACCUUGGGUGGGAGGAGUGUAUGUAGUGUGUGUUGCAUGCAGGUACUCUGAGCCAUGACCUUGAGUUUCCCAGCCUCCAGAACUUUGAGGAAUAAAUUUCUAUUGUUUAUAAGCCACCUUGUCUGGUAUUCUGGUACAGAAGCCCAGAUGGAAUAAGACUAUCUUAUUUGAUUCUUUUCAAAGUUCUGUGAGGCAGCUGUUAUUAUGACUUCCUUUUUACAGAUGGAAUGAGUAGGAUUCAGGAAGUUAAAUAUUUGUUCAAGGUCACAUAAGAAACAGAGCCAGGACUAGCACUCCAGUGUCUGACUUCAAAUCCAGUGCUAUUUCUCCCUCACCUCAGCUAGACAGCAAGAGGACAUAGAAGCAUAGAAAGACCCAGGUACAUGUAAAAAAAAAAAAAAAAUCAGAUAUGAGCAAUGAUUUCAAUUUUUGGUCAGUCUUUUUCCUUGUGCUGCUUCAAACUCUAAUUUUUGGCUCUAGUGAUUUUUUUUCCCCUCAAACAUACUUUCCCAUAAUCCAAGUCAGAAUAUUGGCAUUGUCCUGCAUGCCCAUCAGUAUUCACCCUGAAGCAUAGCCAUGCUUGAUAUGGAAGAAAGGCACUGAGAACAAAGGAUUAUCUGUAAUGUUGCCACGAGGUCAAAAGGAGUCGUACCAUGUACAUGUUGGCAUCAAAUGUUUACAAUUCACAUUAAAAAAUAAUUUUUUAGGGCUGCAUAUAUAGCAUUUGGAAGUUCCUAGACUAGGAGGGAACUGCCGGCUUAUACCACAACC